Molecule: ribosomal RNA, 434 nt
Filed under: uncultured Lachnospiraceae bacterium
Lineage: Bacteria; Bacillati; Bacillota; Clostridia; Lachnospirales; Lachnospiraceae
Description: partial 16S ribosomal RNA
Rfam family: Bacterial small subunit ribosomal RNA
Source: RNAcentral
ACGGAAGGCAGCAGUGGGGGAUAUUGCACAAUGGGGGAAACCCUGAUGCAGCGACGCCGCGUGAGCGAAGAAGUAUUUCGGUAUGUAAAGCUCUAUCAGCAGGGAAGAAAAUGACGGUACCUGACUAAGAGGCUCCGGCUAAAUACGUGCCAGCAGCCGCGGUAAUACGUAUGGAGCAAGCGUUAUCCGGAUUUACUGGGUGUAAAGGGAGCGUAGACGGUUUGCCAAGUCUGAUGUGAAAGGUGGGGGCUCAACCCCCAAACUGCAUUGGAAACUGGUAGACUAGAGUGUCGGAGAGGUAAGUGGAAUUCCUAGUGUAGCGGUGAAAUGCGUAGAUAUUAGGAGGAACACCAGUGGCGAAGGCGGCUUACUGGACGAUAACUGACGUUGAGGCUCGAAAGCGUGGGGAGCAAACAGGAUUAGAUACCCUGGUA